AUUUCAUAUACACAAUAUGUGUGUGUGUGUGUGUGUGUGUGUGUGUGUGUGUAUAUACACACACACACACAAUAUAAUGUAUGUAUAUAUACAUA
RNAcentral lists this microRNA precursor (95 nucleotides) under Ovis aries (sheep). Its description in RNAcentral is "miRNA (ENSOARG00000022857.1)". Lineage: Eukaryota; Metazoa; Chordata; Mammalia; Artiodactyla; Bovidae. The record is from RNAcentral.